Molecule: non-coding RNA, 82 nt
Organism: Podarcis lilfordi (Lilford's wall lizard)
Lineage: Eukaryota; Metazoa; Chordata; Lepidosauria; Squamata; Lacertidae
Source: the annotation of a GenBank genome assembly
ACCAGACUCCAGCUCAGUUGAUAGAGCAUGAGACUCGUAAUCUCAGGGUCGUGGGUUUGAGUCCCAUGUUGCGCAAAUGAUU